GCCCACUCAGGAGAAGGAACUCGGCAAAUUGACACCGUAACUUCGGAAGAAGGUGUGCCUUUAGUAGGUGAACCUGUACAAGGGGAGCCAAAUGAGGCCGCAGAGAAUCGGUGGCUGCGACUGUUUAAUAAAAACACAGCACUCUGCUAACACGAAAGUGGACGUAUAGGGUGUGACGCCUGCCCGGUGCCGGAAGGUUAAGUGAUGGGGUGCAAGCUCUUGAUCGAAGCCCCGGUAAACGGCGGCCGUAACAAUAACGGUCCUAAGGUAGCGAAAUUCCUUGUCGGGUAAGUUCCGACCUGCACGAAUGGCGUAACGAUGGCCACACUGUCUCCUCCUGAGACUCAGCGAAGUUGAAAUGUUUGUGAUGAUGCAAUCUCCCCGCGGCAAGACGGAAAGACCCCAUGAACCUUUACUGUAGCUUUGCAUUGGACUGUGAACCGAUCUGUGUAGGAUAGCUGGGAGGCUUUGAAGCGGUGCCGCUAGGUGUCGUGGAGCCAACCUUGAAAUACCAGCCUGGUUUGUUUGCGGUUCUAACCUUGGCCCGUUAUCCGGGUCGGGGACAGUGCAUGGUAGGCAGUUUGACUGGGGCGGUCUCCUCCUAAAAGGUAACGGAGGAGCUCGAAGGUUCGCUAGGUACGGUCGGACAUCGUACUGAUAGUGCAAUGGCAUAAGCGAGCUUAACUGCGAGACUGACAAGUCGAGCAGGUGCGAAAGCAGGACAUAGUGAUCCGGUGGUUCUGAAUGGAAGGGCCAUCGCUCAACGGACAAAAGGUACUCUGGGGAUAACAGGCUGAUUCCUCCCAAGAGUUCAUAUCGACGGGGGAGUUUGGCACCUCGAUGUCGGCUCAUCACAUCCUGGGGCUGUAGCCGGUCCCAAGGGUAUGGCUGUUCGCCAUUUAAAGUGGUACGUGAGCUGGGUUUAAAACGUCGUGAGACAGUUUGGUCCCUAUCUGCCGUGGGCGCUGGAAAUUUGAGGGGGCCUGCUCCUAGUACGAGAGGACCGGAGUGGACGCACCUCUGGUGUACCUGUUGUCACGCCAGUGGCAUCGCAGGGUAGCUAUGUGCGGAAGAGAUAAACGCUGAAAGCAUCUAAGCGUGAAACUCGCCUCAAGAUGAGAUUUCCCGGGAACUUGAUUCCCCUAAAGGGUCGUUCGAGACCAGGACGUUGAUAGGUCAGGUGUGGAAGCGUGGUAACACGUUAAGCUAACUGAUACUAAUUGCCCGUGCGGCUUGAUCCC
RNAcentral lists this ribosomal RNA (1241 nucleotides) under metagenome. Its description in RNAcentral is "bacterial LSU rRNA". It matches the Rfam family "Bacterial large subunit ribosomal RNA", at positions 1694 to 2925 of the family's 2925-position model. The record is from RNAcentral.